RNAcentral lists this ribosomal RNA (484 nucleotides) under uncultured bacterium. Its description in RNAcentral is "partial 16S ribosomal RNA". It matches the Rfam family "Bacterial small subunit ribosomal RNA", at positions 28 to 523 of the family's 1533-position model. The record is from RNAcentral.
GAUGAACGCUGGCGGCGUGCUUAACACAUGCAAGUCGAACGAUGAAGCUGGAGCUUGCUCCGGUGGAUUAGUGGCGAACGGGUGAGUAACACGUGAGCAAUCUGCCCUUGACUCUGGGAUAACUGCGGGAAACUGUAGCUAAUACCGGAUGCUUUCACUGGAAGGCAUCUUCUGGUGAAGAAAGAAUUUCGGUCAAGGAUGAGCUCGCGGCCUAUCAGCUUGUUGGUGAGGUAACGGCUCACCAAGGCGACGACGGGUAGCCGGCCUGAGAGGGUGACCGGCCACACUGGGACUGAGACACGGACCAGACUCCUACGGGAGGCAGCAGUGGGGAAUAUUGCACAAUGGGCGCAAGCCUGAUGCAGCAACGCCGCGUGAGGGAUGAAGGCCUUCGGGUUGUAAACCUCUUUUAGCAGGGAAGAAGCGAAAGUGACGGUACCUGCAGAAAAAGCACCGGCUAACUACGUGCCAGCAGCCGCCGUAA